AGUUGCUCUGAAAACAGAAGAUAGAGGGAGUCUCGGAGCUCGCCAUCUCCAGCGAUCUCUACAUUGGGAAAAAACAUGGAGUCAGCUCCGGCAGCCCCCGACCCCGCCGCCAGCGAGCCGGGCAGCAGCGGCUCGGACGCGGCCGCCGGCUCCAGGGAGACCCCGCUGAACCAGGAAUCCGCCCGCAAGAGCGAGCCGCCCGCCCCGGUGCGCAGACAGAGCUAUUCCAGCACCAGCAGAGGGUUAUCCAUACCAGUGUCCAGUGAGGGAACUGAGAGAAGGCGGCAUGAUCCAGACAUCAUCUGGCCCCUCCAGAGAGCGUACAUAUGUAAACUGUCCUUUACUCAGUGGAAUAAACAAAAAUGGAUAACUAAAAACAUAUUAGAAUGCUGCAGAGAAGAACCAAAGGGGCUUUGGGACGUCAGGAUUGGAAGUCAGACUGCUUCGCUGCCUCUCAUUCUUCCUUUGGUUUCGACAAACUUAACGCUAGCUGAGCCUCCAUUUCUUCACCAGCAAAACACAGCAGUUGAAACUUUAUAAAAAACAGUUCAUUAAUUUCUUUAUACUGUAC
This 571-nucleotide long non-coding RNA is filed under the name Capra hircus (goat). Its description in RNAcentral is "lncRNA (ENSCHIG00000000949.1)". The record is from RNAcentral. Lineage: Eukaryota; Metazoa; Chordata; Mammalia; Artiodactyla; Bovidae.